CCCUUAGAUGUUCUGGGCCGCACGCGCGCUACACUGAUUCAUGCAACAAGUUUUGUCCUUGGCUGAUAGGCCUGGGUAAUCUUUGAACGUGAAUCGUGAUGGGGAUAGAUGAUUGCAAUUAUUCAUCUUCAACGAGGAAUUCCUAGUAAACGCAAGUCAUCAGCUUGCAUUGAUUACGUCCCUGCCCUUUGUACACACCGCCCGUCGCACCUACCGAUUGAAUGGUCCGGUGAAAUCUUCGGAUCUGAGAGAUGUCUGAUUAAUUUCGGACGCCUUUUGGAAAAGUUGUUUAAACCUUACCAUUUAGAGGAAGGUGAAGUCGUAACAA
Molecule: ribosomal RNA, 328 nt
Filed under: uncultured eukaryote
Lineage: Eukaryota
Description: partial 18S ribosomal RNA
Rfam family: Eukaryotic small subunit ribosomal RNA
Source: RNAcentral